RNAcentral lists this ribosomal RNA (465 nucleotides) under uncultured bacterium. RNAcentral's name for it is "partial 16S ribosomal RNA". It matches the Rfam family "Bacterial small subunit ribosomal RNA", at positions 28 to 507 of the family's 1533-position model. The record is from RNAcentral.
GACGAACGCUGGCGGCGUGCUUAACACAUGCAAGUCGAACGGAAAGGCCCUGCUUGCAGGGUACUCGAGUGGCGAACGGGUGAGUAACACGUGGGUGAUCUGCCCUGCACUUCGGGAUAAGCCUGGGAAACUGGGUCUAAUACCGGAUAGGAGCCAUUUUUAGUGUGAUGGUUGGAAAGUUUUUUCGGUGUAGGAUGAGCUCGCGGCCUAUCAGCUUGUUGGUGGGGUAAUGGCCUACCAAGGCGGCGACGGGUAGCCGGCCUGAGAGGGUGGACGGCCACAUUGGGACUGAGAUACGGCUCAGACUCCUACGGGAGGCAGCAGUGGGGAAUAUUGCACAAUGGGCGCAAGCCUGAUGCAGCGACGCCGCGUGGGGGAUGACGGCCUUAGGGUUGUAAACUCCUUUCGCUAGGGACGAAGCUUUUUGUGACGGUACCUAGAUAAGAAGCACCGGCUAACUACGUG